Molecule: ribosomal RNA, 468 nt
Filed under: uncultured bacterium
Lineage: Bacteria
Description: partial 16S ribosomal RNA
Rfam family: Bacterial small subunit ribosomal RNA
Source: RNAcentral
GAUGGACGCUGGCGGCGUGCUUAACACAUGCAAGUCGAACGGUGAAGGCGGAGCUUGCUCUGCUGGAUCAGUGGCGAACGGGUGAGUAACACGUGAGCAAUCUGCCCCUGACUCUGGGAUAAGCGCUGGAAACGGCGUCUAAUACUGGAUACGAGCUGCGAAGGCAUCUUCAGCAGCUGGAAAGAACUUCGGUCAGGGAUGAGCUCGCGGCCUAUCAGCUUGUUGGUGAGGUAACGGCUCACCAAGGCGUCGACGGGUAGCCGGCCUGAGAGGGUGACCGGCCACACUGGGACUGAGACACGGCCCAGACUCCUACGGGAGGCAGCAGUGGGGAAUAUUGCACAAUGGGCGAAAGCCUGAUGCAGCAACGCCGCGUGAGGGACGACGGCCUUCGGGUUGUAAACCUCUUUUAGCAGGGAAGAAGCGAAAGUGACGGUACCUGCAGAAAAAGCGCCGGCUAACUACGUG